AAUGAGAUAGUUCAGCGGUAGAACGUUCGGCUCUUACUCCGAAUGGACGUAGGUUCGAAUCCUACUCUCAUUC
RNAcentral lists this transfer RNA (73 nucleotides) under Aquimarina sp. MAR_2010_214. Its description in RNAcentral is "tRNA-Lys". It matches the Rfam family "tRNA". From Rfam's summary of the family: Transfer RNA (tRNA) molecules are approximately 80 nucleotides in length. The record is from RNAcentral. Lineage: Bacteria; Pseudomonadati; Bacteroidota; Flavobacteriia; Flavobacteriales; Flavobacteriaceae.